GUGGGUACAAGGAAUCUACUUUAUUCAGCACACUAACCUAAUUUCCGAGACAUGUUACAUACCUGAAACAUGUCUUAGAAAUUUUUUUUUUUCUUGGUUUGUGUGCUGAACAAAGUAGAUUCCUUGUACCCA
This 132-nucleotide microRNA precursor is filed under the name Medicago truncatula (barrel medic). RNAcentral's name for it is "MIR2599 microRNA precursor family". It matches the Rfam family "MIR2599 microRNA precursor family". Lineage: Eukaryota; Viridiplantae; Streptophyta; Magnoliopsida; Fabales; Fabaceae. The record is from Rfam by way of RNAcentral.